RNAcentral lists this ribosomal RNA (506 nucleotides) under uncultured bacterium. RNAcentral describes it as "partial 16S ribosomal RNA". It matches the Rfam family "Bacterial small subunit ribosomal RNA", at positions 29 to 523 of the family's 1533-position model. The record is from RNAcentral.
AGUGAACGCUGGCGGUAGGCCUAACACAUGCAAGUCGAACGGCAGCACAGGAGAGCUUGCUCUCUGGGUGGCGAGUGGCGGACGGGUGAGGAAUACAUCGGAAUCUACUCUGUCGUGGGGGAUAACGUAGGGAAACUCACGCUAAUACCGCAUACGACCUACGGGUGAAAGCAGGGGAUCUUCGGACCUUGCGCGAUUGAAAGAGCCGAUGUCGGAUUAGCUAGUUGGCGGGGUAAAGGCCCACCAAGGCGACGAUCCGUAGCUGGUCUGAGAGGAUGAUCAGCCACACUGGAACUGAGACACGGUCCAGACUCCUACGGGAGGCAGCAGUGGGGAAUAUUGGACAAUGGGCGCAAGCCUGAUCCAGCCAUACCGCGUGGGUGAAGAAGGCCUUCGGGUUGUAAAGCCCUUUUGUUGGGAAAGAAAUCCAGCUGGCUAAUACCCGGUUGGGAUGACGGUACCCAAAGAAUAAGCACCGGCUAACUUCGUGCCAGCCGCCGCGGUAA